RNAcentral lists this ribosomal RNA (207 nucleotides) under uncultured bacterium. RNAcentral's name for it is "partial 16S ribosomal RNA". It matches the Rfam family "Bacterial small subunit ribosomal RNA", at positions 568 to 774 of the family's 1533-position model. The record is from RNAcentral.
AGCGCAGGCGGGAAGACAAGUUGGAAGUGAAAUCUAUGGGCUCAACCCAUAAACUGCUUUCAAAACUGUUUUUCUUGAGUAGUGCAGAGGUAGGCGGAAUUCCCGGUGUAGCGGUGGAAUGCGUAGACAUCGGGAGGAACACCAGUGGCGAAGGCGGCCUACUGGGCACCAACUGACGCUGAGGCUCGAAAGUGUGGGUAGCAAACA